Molecule: non-coding RNA, 30 nt
Filed under: Rattus norvegicus (Norway rat)
Lineage: Eukaryota; Metazoa; Chordata; Mammalia; Rodentia; Muridae
Source: RNAcentral
UUCCAAUGAUGUAGUACAUGUGAAAAUGCA